Long non-coding RNA from Balaenoptera acutorostrata (minke whale), 941 nucleotides. RefSeq lists it as uncharacterized. The transcript has 4 exons. The record is from RefSeq and is a predicted model, not a curated record. NCBI's taxonomy places the organism in Eukaryota, Metazoa, Chordata, Mammalia, Artiodactyla, Balaenopteridae.
AGCACAGAGACAGUGGCAGGGUCAGUCCUGGUGCCCAGCCCCCCCACUGAUUUCUGUCUUUGCAGCAGGCACGUGCUGGAGACAGGAGAGCGAUUCAUCGUGACACAUGUCUGCUUCGGCCCCACAGUGUGUUGGACGCUCCACAUCCCGGGACUAGAGACAAACAGUGGAGCACUGAGCCAGGAGACACAGGAUAAAAAAGAUGUCUAAUGCAAGCAGAUGCCUGCCCUCAGAGGGAUUCCCAACUGUUAAGAAGGGGAGACGCCUGCCCUGGGCACAAGCCCAUCGCGAGGGAGGCUGACCUGACUGCCACGGUGCCUCCAUGGGGACGUCGGCCUGAGGAGGUGGUCCAGAGGCAGGCGCUGGAAUGAGCAGGGAGGGUGGACGGCGUGCAGGAGCCUCGGCCGGCUGCCAGCUGCAACAAGCCCCCUCUUCACCAGCUGGUGCACGGCCACCAACCGUCCUGGUCCGCCAUUUGUGGGACUCGCCUCGCUAAGGAGACCCACCUUACAGUCAUGUCCUAGCAGGUGGUGGUGUAACAGUAGGGGCAGCAGUGUAGAGUCAGGAUGGAGGUGGUGGCCACACGCCUGACAUCCGGGAAACAUUGGCAACGACCUGGUGCAGGCAGGCCCCGCCCCUUCCAGGUGUGACCCGGACCAUUUAGUGUGCCUAGGACUGGCUUUCCAACCAAACCAUGAGGAAAGGGAUAAGAAAUGGCUACUGCCCCUACAGUGGGGUGAGCUCAAGGCAGGCCAACUUCCUCCUUCACCCAGUAAGAACUGGAUUUAGCAAUACAAACAUUUCCUAAAUCUGGGACUGCUAUUAGCCUCAUAAUGAAACAGGAACCACUGUAUACAGAAAUAGCUAUGAAGAGAUUACAGAGCCUUGCAGUCCCAGACUUUUGGCCAUGUGCUAAUGACUGAAAAAAGGAAUUCCAUUUG